RNAcentral lists this transfer RNA (73 nucleotides) under Polymastia littoralis. RNAcentral's name for it is "tRNA-Val". It matches the Rfam family "tRNA". Rfam says of the family: Transfer RNA (tRNA) molecules are approximately 80 nucleotides in length. Their secondary structure includes four short double-helical elements and three loops (D, anti-codon, and T loops). The record is from RNAcentral. Lineage: Eukaryota; Metazoa; Porifera; Demospongiae; Polymastiida; Polymastiidae.
AGGUGUUUAGCUCAGUUGGUAGAGUACCGUGUUUACACCACGAGAGUCGGAAGUUCGAAUCUUUCAAUGCCUA